AUGACCAGAUUUGCCCAUCCUGCUUCCAAUGGAUCCGAACACUCCAACAUCAUUUCACCUGUCUACUCUUUCUGGGCUAUAUUCAUUGGACUUUGCAUGGCUAAUUAUGUCGUGGAGUGGUCAACUGGAUGGGCUCUAACUCAUCCUUUACCAAUUUCGGAGUAUGAGAAUCUGAAGAAACUGUUGAAAUCUGAUUUUGAGGACACGGUUCGUCAGUAUUCUGCGACCUCAACAGAUUUGCUUAAAACUGUUUUCAACCUCAUGAUAUCAGUCACACUUUUUGUUGGUCGAUUUGACAUGCGUAUGAUGCAGGCUGCUAUGAACAAAGGUCCAGACGAAUCUAAGAGCGGCGACCUUUUAUACGAUCAUCUUGAUGGAAAAGACGAACUUUCAUUUGACAUCAUUGCAGAUGCCGGCGAUUGUGGCAACUCUACAUAUGCCAUAGCACCCUUACUUGCUCAACGUUCUUUAGUCGUAAAAUCUGAUGAUUCCAGGCUUAUAUUUCCCGGUGGAGAACUACUACUUAUUGGUGGAAACCUCGUGUAUGCUGCAUACUUUGAUCGUUUACACCAUUUGAAGUUUUCAGUUCAUGUUUGCUGA
Molecule: ribosomal RNA, 600 nt
Filed under: Triticum aestivum (bread wheat)
Lineage: Eukaryota; Viridiplantae; Streptophyta; Magnoliopsida; Poales; Poaceae
Description: partial small subunit ribosomal RNA
Source: RNAcentral